GGAGGGAUGUCCGAGUUGGUCGAAGGAGCACGCCUGGAAAGUGUGUAUAUGGGCAACUGUAUCAAGGGUUCGAAUCCCUUUCCCUCCG
This 88-nucleotide transfer RNA is filed under the name Chitinispirillales bacterium. RNAcentral describes it as "tRNA-Ser". It matches the Rfam family "tRNA". From Rfam's summary of the family: Transfer RNA (tRNA) molecules are approximately 80 nucleotides in length. The record is from RNAcentral. Lineage: Bacteria; Pseudomonadati; Fibrobacterota; Chitinispirillia; Chitinispirillales.